UACGGAGGAUCCGAGCGUUAUCCGGAUUUAUUGGGUUUAAAGGGAGCGUAGGUGGAUUGUUAAGUCAGUUGUGAAAGUUUGCGGCUCAACCGUAAAAUUGCAGUUGAAACUGGCAGUCUUGAGUACAGUAGAGGUGGACGGAAUUCGUGGUGUAGCGGUGAAAUGCUUAGAUAUCACGAAGAACUCCGAUUGCGAAGGCAGCUCACUGGACUGCAACUGACACUGAGGCUCGAAGGUGUGGGUAUCAAACAGG
RNAcentral lists this ribosomal RNA (253 nucleotides) under uncultured bacterium. RNAcentral's name for it is "partial 16S ribosomal RNA". It matches the Rfam family "Bacterial small subunit ribosomal RNA", at positions 524 to 776 of the family's 1533-position model. The record is from RNAcentral.